AACGAACGCUGGCGGCAUGCCUAACACAUGCAAGUCGAACGAGACCUUCGGGUCUAGUGGCGCACGGGUGCGUAACGCGUGGGAACCUGCCCUUAGGUUCGGAAUAACUCCCCGAAAGGGGUGCUAAUACCGGAUAAUGUCUUCGGACCAAAGAUUUAUCGCCUUUGGAUGGGCCCGCGUUGGAUUAGCUAGUUGGUAGGGUAAAAGCCUACCAAGGCGACGAUCCAUAGCUGGUCUGAGAGGAUGAUCAGCCACACUGGGACUGAGACACGGCCCAGACUCCUACGGGAGGCAGCAGUGGGGAAUAUUAGACAAUGGGCGAAAGCCUGAUCCAGCAAUGCCGCGUGAGUGAUGAAGGCCUUAGGGUUGUAAAGCUCUUUUACCCGGGAUGAGAAUGACAGUACCGGGAGAAUAAGCUCCGGCUAACUCCGUG
Molecule: ribosomal RNA, 433 nt
Filed under: uncultured bacterium
Lineage: Bacteria
Description: partial 16S ribosomal RNA
Rfam family: Bacterial small subunit ribosomal RNA
Source: RNAcentral